Molecule: small nucleolar RNA, 130 nt
Filed under: Salvator merianae (Argentine black and white tegu)
Lineage: Eukaryota; Metazoa; Chordata; Lepidosauria; Squamata; Teiidae
Description: Small nucleolar RNA SNORA56 (ENSSMRG00000013158.1)
Source: RNAcentral
GUGCAGGCAGUUAUCCCUUUCUUGCCUAAUUUUUGUGGUUCUAGAGGGAGUCAGUCUGCUAAAUGAAUUUCAGGAAUGCUGCAUCCUGGUCCCGUGCAGUUGGGUAUCAUGAACAGCUUUCCAUACAUUG